AUGUUUACAAGUAGCAGUAGUUGAUUAUUUAAAUAGUUGCCACCAGGAGUCACUGAGCCAAUGACUACCAGCUGCUGACUAAUCUUCACACUGUAGUUGCUUCAUUUGCAGGUCUUCUGUGCUUAAUUGCUGUUUUUGUUGCCGUAGUACCUUACAAAUUCUUAAUUCAUUGAGAGUUAGUGACCAUCCGGGUCCAUGUUAAUAUCACAUAAUAGCAAAUUCCCUUUCAGAAGUUUCUAGCUUUAGUGCUAAAAUACUACUGAGAAAGAAACUAGGUAGUUUGAGUGAAAGAAAACAACAAAAAUUGAAAAUAAUAUGCAGUGGUCAGGUACCACUAAUAUUUGGGGAGUGUGUUUUGUCUGUUCUUCAAUGAAGGAUCAACCCAGUGUUCUGCAUCAGUGUUAGUUAAUGUCCCAUGGUUUGUGUGGAGCUUGAGUUGGUGGUAGACCGGGGCCAGAGACCAGAGUUUUUUGUUUUUUGUUUUAGUAAGUUAUUGUCCUGCUCCCUUUCCAGUUGUCUUGAAGAGCUCUUGCUACUAACUCUGGGUCCUGCUUUUCAUUUAUGUAGACAGUAAGCAUUCUCUUAAUCACAAUUAGAACAAACUCGUGACCAAAUUGUUAUCUACGAUGGAAGUUCUUGGUUUGCUUAACCACAUUCUAUGUCUUGUCCAGGUAUGUGAGUCCAGUCUCCAUGACUUACCCCCUUCAAAAGCUUCUGACACUGGUUUGAGGAUUUCUAACACUAAAUAAAAGAAAAAUUAGAUCAGGAUGUGGUAGCAAAUGCCUAUAAUCCCAGCAUUUGGGAGGCAGGGGUAGGAAGGAAUCUCAGGUUCAAGGCUGCCUUCAGGUGUCUCCAAAAAAAAAAAAAAAAAAAGAAGGAACAAAAGAAAGGUAAAUGCUAUAGUAUAAGUCCUUUAAAAAUCUAGUGGAAGGUUAAUGGUAGUUACACAUUUCUAAGCAGGGUUUUAAACAUAUUCCCCAUUAGUUUUUAGGUAAACAUGGACAAGUUAUAACUAAUGAAAAGGGCCUUUAGAUUUGUUUUUUGUUUUUUUUGUUUUUUUUCCCCAUUCAAAAUAUCAUUAAAGAGUUUCAAACAAAUUGAAAAUUCUGUGUUUGGAGAAAAUAAAGGAAAUCUUUAGAGUUUAGUAGACUAUUCAAAACUGUAAAAUAAUAUCUUUAAAAACCAUUCCGGCAACCAUCUGUUCCCAGAGGGUUUGAUUGAGAAAGCAGAUCAGGUGUGUGUAAGACAUCUCUUCAAACUCCAAACUAUGACCAGAAACACUUUAUCAUCACCCAUUGUGAGCAUCACUUGGUCAAAUUUACUGAGUCCAUUUUGAUCAUAAUGCCCGCAUACUAGUGUGAUUAAACACUGACUGUCCUGUCCAGUAAGAAUUUCUGCCUCAUCUAAUCGUGUGGCACCCUAUCUUUUCAUGUUGUUCAUUAUACCUGAAUUGUACCAUCAGUUUAGUUAAGAUGCAUGUAGUUUGCACAGUGAUUAAAGUGAACAGGUUAUGUUUAUAACAACUCUAGAGGAACCAUGGACACAGCAGGAAUUGUCACAGUAAAAACUGGUAGCAGGAAAAUUUGAAAGGGUUUGAAAUGCCCUGAAUGGGGCAAGUACUUUAUAGAGAAAAAAUGCAAAAAUGUCAACAUUUGACCAGAUGAACACUACCUCCUCCCCAGUUACUGGUAUUCACUCAUGUGUGUGUUUAAGAAAAUGAACGCAUGGAGAACUUGUGUAGCACACCAGAAGUUGUGGAUCUAUAUCUGGUAUCCAGAACCUACAGGGAAAUGUUUCUUUUUCUCCCUUUUUCGGGGUCAGCAUUUUAAAAAUGCAAAGCCUCAUAUGUUGAGACAUUUUAGGGGUUGGGGAUUUAGCUCAGUGGUAGAGCGCUUGCCUAGGAAGCGCAAGGCCCUGGGUUCAGUCCCCAGCUCCGGAAAAAAAGAACCAAAAAAAAAAAAAAAAAGACAUUUU
This 1974-nucleotide long non-coding RNA is filed under the name Rattus norvegicus (Norway rat). RNAcentral's name for it is "long non-coding RNA NONRATT004562". The stretch from base 1868 to 1930 matches the Rfam family "tRNA". The record is from RNAcentral. Lineage: Eukaryota; Metazoa; Chordata; Mammalia; Rodentia; Muridae.